GGCUUGUAGCUCAGUCGGUUAGAGCGCGCGCUUGAUAAGCGUGAGGUCGGAGGUUCAAGUCCUCCCAGGCCCA
Molecule: transfer RNA, 73 nt
Filed under: uncultured Bartonella sp.
Lineage: Bacteria; Pseudomonadati; Pseudomonadota; Alphaproteobacteria; Hyphomicrobiales; Bartonellaceae
Description: tRNA-Ile
Rfam family: tRNA
About the family: Transfer RNA (tRNA) molecules are approximately 80 nucleotides in length.
Source: RNAcentral